This 73-nucleotide transfer RNA is filed under the name Candidatus Woesearchaeota archaeon. RNAcentral's name for it is "tRNA-Thr". It matches the Rfam family "tRNA". From Rfam's summary of the family: Transfer RNA (tRNA) molecules are approximately 80 nucleotides in length. Their secondary structure includes four short double-helical elements and three loops (D, anti-codon, and T loops). The record is from RNAcentral. Lineage: Archaea; Nanobdellati; Candidatus Woesearchaeota.
GCCUCCGUAGCUCAGCUAGCAGAGCGUGUGACUUGUAAUCACAAGGUCGCGAGUGCAAAUCUCGUCGGAGGCU